CAGUAGCCGCGGUAAAACGAAGGGUGCAAGCGUUAAUCGGAAUUACUGGGCGUAAAGCGUGCGCAGGCGGUUGUGUAAGACAGGUGUGAAAUCCCCGGGCUUAACCUGGGAACUGCGCUUGUGACUGCACAGCUAGAGUAUGGCAGAGGGGGGUGGAAUUCCACGUGUAGCAGUGAAAUGCGUAGAGAUGUGGAGGAACACCGAUGGCGAAGGCAGCCCCCUGGGCCAAUACUGACGCUCAUGCACGAAAGCGUGGGGAGCAAACAGGAUUAGAUACCCCCGUAGUCCCUGUCUCUUAUAU
Molecule: ribosomal RNA, 301 nt
Filed under: uncultured bacterium
Lineage: Bacteria
Description: partial 16S ribosomal RNA
Rfam family: Bacterial small subunit ribosomal RNA
Source: RNAcentral